CGGGACACGUGGUAUCCUGUCUGAAUAUGGGGGGACCAUCCUCCAAGGCUAAAUACUCCUGACUGACCGAUAGUGAACCAGUACCGUGAGGGAAAGGCGAAAAGAACCCCGGCGAGGGGAGUGAAAAAGAACCUGAAACCGUGUACGUACAAGCAGUGGGAGCACGCUUAGGCGUGUGACUGCGUACCUUUUGUAUAAUGGGUCAGCGACUUAUAUUCUGUAGCAAGGUUAACCGAAUAGGGGAGCCGAAGGGAAACCGAGUCUUAACUGGGCGUUAAGUUGCAGGGUAUAGACCCGAAACCCGGUGAUCUAGCCAUGGGCAGGUUGAAGGUUGGGUAACACUAACUGGAGGACCGAACCGACUAAUGUUGAAAAAUUAGCGGAUGACUUGUGGCUGGGGGUGAAAGGCCAAUCAAACCGGGAGAUAGCUGGUUCUCCCCGAAAGCUAUUUAGGUAGCGCCUCGUGAAUUCAUCUCCGGGGGUAGAGCACUGUUUCGGCAAGGGGGUCAUCCCGACUUACCAACCCGAUGCAAACUGCGAAUACCGGAGAAUGUUAUCACGGGAGACACACGGCGGGUGCUAACGUCCGUCGUGAAGAGGGAAACAACCCAGACCGCCAGCUAAGGUCCCAAAGUCAUGGUUAAGUGGGAAACGAUGUGGGAAGGCCCAGACAGCCAGGAUGUUGGCUUAGAAGCAGCCAUCAUUUAAAGAAAGCGUAAUAGCUCACUGGUCGAGUCGGCCUGCGCGGAAGAUGUAACGGGGCUAAACCAUGCACCGAAGCUGCGGCAGCGACACUAUGUGUUGUUGGGUAGGGGAGCGUUCUGUAAGCCUGUGAAGGUGUACUGUGAGGUAUGCUGGAGGUAUCAGAAGUGCGAAUGCUGACAUAAGUAACGAUAAAGCGGGUGAAAAGCCCGCUCGCCGGAAGACCAAGGGUUCCUGUCCAACGUUAAUCGGGGCAGGGUGAGUCGACCCCUAAGGCGAGGCCGAAAGGCGUAGUCGAUGGGAAACAGGUUAAUAUUCCUGUACUUGGUGUUACUGCGAAGGGGGGACGGAGAAGGCUAUGUUGGCCGGGCGACGGUUGUCCCGGUUUAAGCGUGUAGGCUGGUUUUCCAGGCAAAUCCGGAAAAUCAAGGCUGAGGCGUGAUGACGAGGCACUACGGUGCUGAAGCAACAAAUGCCCUGCUUCCAGGAAAAGCCUCUAAGCAUCAGGUAACAUCAAAUCGUACCCCAAACCGACACAGGUGGUCAGGUAGAGAAUACCAAGGCGCUUGAGAGAACUCGGGUGAAGGAACUAGGCAAAAUGGUGCCGUAACUUCGGGAGAAGGCACGCUGAUAUGUAGGUGAAGUCCCUCGCGGAUGGAGCUGAAAUUAGUCGAAGAUACCAGCUGGCUGCAACUGUUUAUUAAAAACACAGCACUGUGCAAACACGAAAGUGGACGUAUACGGUGUGACGCCUGCCCGGUGCCGGAAGGUUAAUUGAUGGGGUCAGCGCAAGCGAAGCUCUUGAUCGAAGCCCCGGUAAACGGCGGCCGUAACUAUAACGGUCCUAAGGUAGCGAAAUUCCUUGUCGGGUAAGUUCCGACCUGCACGAAUGGCGUAAUGAUGGCCAGGCUGUCUCCACCCGAGACUCAGUGAAAUUGAACUCGCUGUGAAGAUGCAGUGUACCCGCGGCAAGACGGAAAGACCCCGUGAACCUUUACUAUAGCUUGACACUGAACAUUGAGCCUUGAUGUGUAGGAUAGGUGGGAGGCUUUGAAGUGUGGACGCCAGUCUGCAUGGAGCCGACCUUGAAAUACCACCCUUUAAUGUUUGAUGUUCUAACGUUGACCCGUGAUCCGGGUUGCGGACAGUGUCUGGUGGGUAGUUUGACUGGGGCGGUCUCCUCCUAAAGAGUAACGGAGGAGCACGAAGGUUGGCUAAUCCUGGUCGGACAUCAGGAGGUUAGUGCAAUGGCAUAAGCCAGCUUGACUGCGAGCGUGACGGCGCGAGCAGGUGCGAAAGCAGGUCAUAGUGAUCCGGUGGUUCUGAAUGGAAGGGCCAUCGCUCAACGGAUAAAAGGUACUCCGGGGAUAACAGGCUGAUACCGCCCAAGAGUUCAUAUCGACGGCGGUGUUUGGCACCUCGAUGUCGGCUCAUCACAUCCUGGGGCUGAAGUAGGUCCCAAGGGUAUGGCUGUUCGCCAUUUAAAGUGGUACGCGAGCUGGGUUUAGAACGUCGUGAGACAGUUCGGUCCCUA
RNAcentral lists this ribosomal RNA (2236 nucleotides) under Escherichia coli. RNAcentral describes it as "partial 23S ribosomal RNA". It matches the Rfam family "Bacterial large subunit ribosomal RNA", at positions 418 to 2640 of the family's 2925-position model. Lineage: Bacteria; Pseudomonadati; Pseudomonadota; Gammaproteobacteria; Enterobacterales; Enterobacteriaceae. The record is from RNAcentral.